RNAcentral lists this transfer RNA (75 nucleotides) under Arthrobacter sp. NicSoilB8. RNAcentral's name for it is "tRNA-Arg". The record is from RNAcentral. Lineage: Bacteria; Bacillati; Actinomycetota; Actinomycetes; Micrococcales; Micrococcaceae.
GAGGUGGUGGACCACGGGCCCAAGGUCUACGACGCCCUGGAUGACUACCCGUCGUUCUGCAUCAACGCCGCCCUC